GGCUUGGCCGGCUCAACAGCUGUACAACGAAGCCCGGAUACUGUGUGUGUUGCGCUGUUUAGAGGUACGUAGCACCACAUGAUUCGGCUUCGUGGUGCACGCAACUGCAACAGAGGGCG
RNAcentral lists this microRNA precursor (119 nucleotides) under Drosophila virilis. RNAcentral describes it as "microRNA dvi-mir-995 precursor". Its record names the gene dvi-mir-995. The stretch from base 17 to 103 matches the Rfam family "mir-995 microRNA precursor family". The record is from miRBase by way of RNAcentral. Lineage: Eukaryota; Metazoa; Arthropoda; Insecta; Diptera; Drosophilidae.